ACGGAUAUCUCGGCUCUCGCAUCGAUGAAGAACGUAGCGAAAUGCGAUACCUGGUGUGAAUUGCAGAAUCCCGCGAACCAUCGAGUCUUUGAACGCAAGUUGCGCCCGAGGCCUCUUGGCCGAGGGCACGCCUGCCUGGGCGUCACGCCAAACACGCUCCCACCCAACUAACUUGGGGUGGGACGCGGCAUGUGGCUCCUCGUCCCGCAAGGGGCGGUGGGCCAAAGAUCCGGCUGCCGGCCUAUCGUACCGGACACAGCGCGUGGU
RNAcentral lists this ribosomal RNA (267 nucleotides) under Lolium perenne. Its description in RNAcentral is "5.8S ribosomal RNA". The stretch from base 1 to 145 matches the Rfam family "5.8S ribosomal RNA". Rfam says of the family: 5.8S ribosomal RNA (5.8S rRNA) is a component of the large subunit of the eukaryotic ribosome. It is transcribed by RNA polymerase I as part of the 45S precursor that also contains 18S and 28S rRNA. Lineage: Eukaryota; Viridiplantae; Streptophyta; Magnoliopsida; Poales; Poaceae. The record is from RNAcentral.